Molecule: long non-coding RNA, 751 nt
Organism: Myotis lucifugus (little brown bat)
Lineage: Eukaryota; Metazoa; Chordata; Mammalia; Chiroptera; Vespertilionidae
Exons: 3
Source: RefSeq, a predicted model, not a curated record
AAAAAGAAAAAGCAUGUCCUCAGUGAUUGAGCCCAAGCCCAGGUUAAGCGGCAGGGACAGCAAGCACGGACCACACUUCCCAGCCUUCCUGAAUCCAGAAAUGUAAAUCUCUCAGUACACCCUGCCAUGCCCAAGGUCACACAGCCAGGGACGGCCACAGCCAGGGAGAGGGGAUGUAUUAGUCUGCUAAGGCUGCCAUAGCAAAAUACCCCGACUGGGCGACUUAAACAACAGACACUUAUUCUCACAAUUCUGUGUGCUGGACGUCCAGGACCAGGCUGCCAGCCGUUUGUUUUCUAGUGGGGCCUCUCUCCUCGGCUCGCAGAUGGCCACCUUCUGGCUGUGACCUCACGUGGCCUUUUCUCUGUGGACGCACGCCGCUGGUGUUUCUUCCUUUUCUUAUCAGGACACCCAUCCCAGCGGAUCACUGCUCUACCCUGCGGGCCUCAUGUUAACUUCGUCACCUCUUUAAAGGCCUCAGUCCCAAACCAAGGCUAACGGGGAUGAAAGCCUGGCCGUCUUGGCCUGACGUGGGACAAUUCUGAAGAGCCAUCCAGCUCCAGUGUUCCCUGUGGACUUGGCCGAAAAGGUCCCCGGGUCUGGAAUCACAGUCCCACUUCUUCCUUCUACGGGUGCUGGUCCCAAGGGCAUGCCCCGUAAACAUUCUGAGCUCAACUCUGUCUCAGAGUCUGCUUCCUGGGGAACCCAGCCCGUGACAGUGUUGGUUCUAACUCAUUAAACUGAUUCCACA